This 7718-nucleotide long non-coding RNA is filed under the name Setaria viridis. Its description in RNAcentral is "long non-coding RNA (SVIR_LNC011225)". Lineage: Eukaryota; Viridiplantae; Streptophyta; Magnoliopsida; Poales; Poaceae. The record is from RNAcentral.
CGUCACCAGCAACGUAGUGCACGUCAGUACCAGAGGGAGCUUUUGCGACGACCUGUGGGAGAUCCAGCACGGUGCACUUCAAAUCCGGGAACGCCGCUGCUAUGGUCGCAGCGGCCCCGCCAAGGCCGCCGGCGACAUCGACGAGGGAGGUUAGCCCACGGAAGACCUCGGCGCACUCCCUGAGGACGAUCGGCAUCAGGAAGGCGGUGUCCGCGGCCAUGGCGUCGUUGAACCGGAACGCGGCGGCGUCAUGUUCCGCUCUCUCCCAGACCGUCUGGCCGCCGUACGCCAUGGCGAACGGGGACAGACCCGGCUGCUGCUGGUCGCCCUGCUGCCGGAACCACUUGCGCAUGCCCAUGCUAACCGGAGAAUCUCGGACCGGCCCGAGCAAGAGCUGCACGGUCAGGAAAUGAGGCAGUUGGCCCGUCGCCGUCGAGCUCUUGUCCCUGACGAGGAGGCGGGAGGCCGCUGUCAGCUUGUAGACCGCGGCGUCGUGCCUGCUUUCUGCCGCCGCCGCCGCCGCCGCCUCGUCCGGGUGCUGGACGAUGAAGAUGCCCGAAACGGUGAGCACGCGCAUGACGCGGCGCAUGUCGCGGAGCCUGCACGGGCUGAUCCCGGCCUCGGCGAGUAUCUGGGGCAGGGUGGCGGCGCCGCCGAGGCGGUGGACGGCGUCGGCGAUGCGGAGGUCCAAGGCGAUGGCGAGCGCGGCGGACUUGAAGAAGCCGAGGGACUGGUGCCAGAGCUGGAGCUCGGCCUGGAGCAGCUCCUGGCUGCUGUACUCGGCGAGCAAUGCCAUUACUGCCCCGAUCGACCAAUCAGUCGAUCUUGAUGGCUAAUUCUUCCUUGUUCAGGGGUUGCUGAGCUUUGGGUGGAGCCAUACACGCAUCGGGUACUUAUAGUUGCAUGGCAGCUUGGUUAAGUAUUCUACCCCCAACGAACAUGAGCAUUAUUCUACAAGCUCUCAUUGGCUGUAUAUGCAAGCAUGUGCAGCCCUGGAAAUCAAGACGAUAUCCCAGCCGGUGCCCAGUUGACUUUGAAAGGAGGAACGAGUCAUGAGAGAUUUUUUGAAAAUAGAAUGAUAGGCUGCUUCUGCAUAUGUACUUAUAUACCAAUGAAAACUAAUUGUAUAUAUAGGGAAUUUUGAAGCACUUAGUCAACUACUAGCUGCAGUAGCUUGAAUGGUCGCAUUACAUACGCACACGGCAGCUACUUAGUUUAGGCUGCUAGGUGACCGCGAGCGGAAGCUUACGUUGCCUUGGUCAGAAUUCGAGCUAUAUAGAGAGGAGAGGCUGCGCGGCUGCGCCAAGGUAUCAAUCAAUCUUAUCCUUGACCGUGAUGGCUGAAGAAGUCUUCCAUGUCUGCGCCUCCAAAGUACUAAACAAGAGCACCAGGAAUUCAGGAUCUCAUGACUGCUCAUCACUUUUGUUUUUUUAUAACUAUCUGCUCAACGAUCACUUUUGGAGUUUUUGGACAGCUACCAUGCUAGUUGAAACCACGCACCUUCAUGUUGCCGUCACAAGACUACCGUUUCAAUAUGUCCAAGUUAACAGUGGACUGAUCAGUUGCAAUCUGCAAGCGAACCAUCUUCACUGACAAUAGCUAUCAUGGAUGCACAUGUAUAUCAAGCAUAAGUACUUGCAAACCAAUCAUUGAGUCUUUCACCGUUGCACGGUUUUGUUUUUAAAAGUAUGUUUGCAACUAGUCACUUCUGAAGGUAUUUGCAAUUGCAAAAAUAGUUUCUAACGUCUAUUACCGAAAAAAUUGUCCUUUUGCAUCUUAGUUUUUAAUUAUGUUGAGUUUGACAAUGAAAUUUUAUGGAUGCAUAUAUCAUGCUCAUCCCCAUCUAUAGUAAAAUUUAUAAAAUAUUCUCAAACCUUUUAAGUAGAGUGAAAAUUAAAUCCACAUUCUUGUGUCGUUUACACCACCUAUAUACUUCACCCAAGAAUGCAAUCAAAUAUGCUCACCCACCUACUGCUAGAUGUGCCUCUUCAAUAUUCAACUUAUUUUUCAUGGCUGUCCUCUCCUUAUGUCGACUGCUUCCGACGCUGCAUUGUGCACCACCGUAGUCGCUGUGCUUCCUUCGUCUCCGGUGACGAUGACAAUGCCUGCUUUGCCGCCACCAUUUUUCAGCGUGGUGGUUGUCCGAUUUCGAGUGAGAAGCAGUGUACAUCUCUAAGGCAGAUUCAUUUUUCACCGAUCCUCCAUCUGAGAAGAAGAGGAAAAGGAAGAGGAGGAGGAAGAGGAAGGAGAAGCAAGAUGACGUUGCUGCCAGAAAGCCUGAUGACAUGGAUUUGAACAUAAAUGACGACGACAUGGUAGAUUAGCAAACACAGUGGAAUAAAAACUAGACUCAAGUAUGUGCCCUUCAUGUAUACUUUGAGCAAAGCACUAUACAUGUGCAAACUUUUUUCCAGGUCUAAGUAGGCAAGCACCAAAGUAAUAAAACAGGUUUUACUCCUUUUGUAGGGUCAGAUGCCCGAAUAUGAAUCCCCCACAUAUGUAUAGGGCCACUUAUUGGACACUAUGCAUCUUAACAAUAAUUCAGAACCAGUAUAUAUAUAAUUUUGUGAUGUCUUAUUCUUUGGAUGGUGUUCUGUUCACCAAGCUUUCAAGGAUAGAGCUCGAUAACAGAUCGAACACCGAGAACAGGUAUAAUUUUGUAGUCCUUGAAUCCAGCCUCGAAGAAAAUCUUCUUCCACUCUUGCUCAUCUCGUUCAACUCCAUUGAUGUUCAUGAUUAAGAGGUCAUACAAAACUUGUGUCUCUGCAUGCUUGAUAUCAUCUGACGGCCCAGAUCCGACCACCAUAUCUAUUAUUAUUAUCUUUCCUCCAGCAUCUCGUGGAGAUAUAACUUGUUUGCAGUUCUUCAGUAUCUUGACACACUCGUCAUCGCGCCAAUCAUGCAAAAUCCACUGGAAAAAACAAGCAAUCAUGCAUCAAUUUUCAAUCCAUACAUAAAUUAAACAUACAAUAGCUUAGGGCAUUUGCUGGUUGCUGUCACUAAUGUGCAUUCGAAACAUUUGGGUACUGGGAUGUACCUUGAGGAACACAGCGUUCGCCGGUGGAAUACUCUCAAACAUGUCACCAGCAACGUAGUGCACGUCAGUACCAGAGGGAGCUUGUGCGACGACCUGUGGGAGAUCCAGCACGGUGCACUUCAAAUCCGGGAACGCCGCUGCUAUGGUCGCAGCGGCCCCGCCAAGGCCGCCGGCGACAUCGACGAGGGAGGUUAGCCCACGGAAGACCUCGGCGCACUCCCUGAGGACGAUCGGCAUCAGGAAGGCGGUGUCCGCGGCCAUGGCUUCGUUGAACCGGAACGCCUCGGCGUCACCCUCCGCUCUCUCCCAGACAGACUGGCCGCCGUACGCCAUGGAGAACGGGGACAGACCCGGCUGCUGCAGGUCACCCUGCUGCCGGAACCACUUGCGCAUGCCCAUGCUGACCGGAGAAUCUCGGACCGGCCAGAGCAAGAGCUGCACGGUCAGGAAAUGAGGCAGCUGGCCCGUCGCCGUCGAGCUCUUGUCCCUGACGAGGAGGCGGGAGGCCGCCGUCAGCUUGUAGACCGCGGCGUCGUGCCUGCUUUCUGCCGCCGCCGCCGCCUCGUCCGGGUACUGGACGAUGAAGAUGCCCGAAACGGUGAGCACGCGCAUGACGCGGCGCAUGUCGCGGAGCCUGCACGGGCUGAUGCCGGCCUCGGCGAGUAUCUGGGGCAGGGUGGCGGAGCCGCCGAGGCGGUGGACGGCGUCGGCGAUGCCGAGGUCCAAGGCGAUGGCGAGCGCGGCGGACUUGAAGAAGCCGAGGGACUGAUGCCAGAGCUGGAGCUCGGCCUGGAGCAGCUCCUGGCUGCUGUACUCGGCGAGCAAUGCCAUUACUGCCCCGAUCGACCAAUCAGUCGAUCUUGAUGGCUGGUUCUUUCUUGUUCAGGGGUUGCUGAGCUUUGGGUGGAGCCAUACACGCAUCGGGUACUUAUAGUUGCAUGGCAGCUUGGUUAAGAGGGUGUUUGGGAGAAGGGGGUUAAACUUUAGCCUUGUCACAUCGGAUGUUCGGAUACUAAUUAGGAGGACUAAAUAUAAGCUAAUUACAAAACUAAUUGCAGAACCCCUAAGCUAAAUCGCAAGACGAAUCUAUUAACCCUAACUAAUUAGGCUUAAUAGAUUCGUCUCGCGAUUUAACCUAGGGGUUGUGUAAUUAGUUUUGUAAUUAGUCUAGGUUUAAUACUCCUAACUAGUGUCCAAACAUUCGAUGUGACGGGAGCUAAAAUUUAGCCCCCUCCUCCCAAACACCUACCCCCAACGAACAUGAGCAUUAUUCUACAAGCUCUCAUUGGCUGUAUAUGCAAGCAUGUGCAGCCUUGGAAAUCAAGACGAUAUCCCAGCCGGUGCCCAGUUGACUUUGAAAGGAGGAACGAGUCAUGAGAGAUUUUUUGAAAAUAGAAUGAUAGGCUGCUUCUGCAUAUGUACUUAUAUACCAAUGAAAACUAAUUGUAUAUAUAGGGAAUUUUGAAGCACUUAGUCAACUACUAGCUGCAGUAGCUUGAAUGGUCGCAUUACAUAUGCACACGGCAGCUACUUACCCCUUGUUUACUUUCCAAUUUGGGAUAGGCAAAAUUGACAUUUUGCCAUAAAUGCGUAACUGUAGCGUUUCGUUUGUAUUUGUGAAUUAUUGUCUAAAUAUUGACUAAUUAGGCUCAAAAGAUUCGUCUCGCAAAGUACAACGAAAUUGUGUAAUUAGUUUUUGAUUUCGUCUACAUUUAGUACUCCAUGCAUGUACCGCAAGUUUGAUGUGAUGGUGAAUCUUCUUUUUGCAUAGUGUCAAAGUUGGGUGUUUGGGAGAAGGGGGCUAAACUUUAGCCUUGUCACAUCGGAUGUUCGGAUACUAAUUAGGAGGACUAAACAUAAGCUAAUUACAAAACUAAUUGCAGAACCCCUAGGCUAAAUCGCGAGACGAAUCUAUUAAGCCUAAUUAAUCCAUCAUUAGUGAAUGGUUACUGUAGCACCGCAUUGUCAAAUCAUGGACUAAUUAGGCUUAAUAGAUUCGUCUCGCGAUUUAGCCUAGGGGUUGUGUAAUUAGUCUAGGUUUAAUACUCCUAACUAGUGUCCAAACAUUCGAUGUGACGGGGGUUAAAAUUUAGCCCCCUCCUCCCAAACACCUACCCCAACGAACAUGAGCAUUAUUCUACAAGCUCUCAUUGGCUGUAUAUGCAAGCAUGUGCAGCCCUGGAAAUCAAGACGAUAUCCCAGCCGGUGCCCAGUUGACUUUGAAAGGAGGAACGAGUCAUGAGAGAUUUUUUGAAAAUAGAAUGAUAGGCUGCUUCUGCAUAUGUACUUAUAUACCAAUGAAAACUAAUUGUAUAUAUAGGGAAUUUUGAAGCACUUAGUCAACUCCUAGCUGCAGUAGCUUGAAUGGUCGUAUUACAUACGCACACGGCAGCUACUUACCCCUCGUUUACUUCCCAAUUUGGGAUAGGCAAAAUUGACAUUUUGUCAUAAAUGCGCAACUGUAGCGUUUCGUUUGUAUUUGUGAAUUAUUGUCUAAAUAUUGACUAAUUAGGCUCAAAAGAUUCGUCUCGCAAAGUACAACGAAAUUGUGUAAUUAGUUUUUGAUUUCGUCUACAUUUAGUACUCCAUGCAUGUACCGCAAGUUUAAUGUGAUGAAGAAUCUUCUUUUUGCAUAGUGUCAAAGUUGGGAGUUUGGAGGGAAGUAAACAAGGGGUUAGUUUAGGCUGCUAGGUGACCGCGAGCGGAAGCUUACGUUGCCUUGGUCAGAAUUCGAGCUAUAUAGAGAGGAGAGGCUGCGCGCUGCGCCAAGGUAUCAAUCAAUCUUAUCCUUGACCGUGAUGGCUGAAGAAGUCUUCCAUGUCUGCGCCUGCAAACUACUAAACAAAUCUUUAUCCUUGGUCAGAAUUCGAGCUGUAUAGAGAGGAGAGGCUGCGCGUAGAUCUCUAUCAUGAAUGCACAUGUAUAUCAAGCAUAAGUACUUGCAAACCAAUCAUUGAGUCUUUCACCGUUGCACGGUUUUGUUUUUAAAAGUAUGUUUGCAACUAGUCACUUCUGAAGGUAUUUGCAAUUGCAAAAAUAGUUUCUAACGUCUAUUACCGAAAAAAUUGUCCUUUUGCAUCUUAGUUUUUAAUUAUGUUGAGUUUGACAAUGAAAUUUUAUGGAUGCAUAUAUCAUGCUCAUCCCCAUCUAUAGUAAAAUUUAUAAAAUAUUCUCAAACCUUUUAAGUAGAGUGAAAAUUAAAUCCACAUUCUUGUGUCGUUUACACCACCUAUAUACUUCACCCAAGAAUGCAAUCAAAUAUGCUCACCCACCUACUGCUAGAUGUGCCUCUUCAAUAUUCAACUUAUUUUUCAUGGCUGUCCUCUCCUUAUGUCGACUGCUUCCGACGCUGCAUUGUGCACCACCGUAGUCGCUGUGCUUCCUUCGUCUCCGGUGACGAUGACAAUGCCUGCUUUGCCGCCACCAUUUUUCAGCGUGGUGGUUGUCCGAUUUCGAGUGAGAAGCAGUGUACAUCUCUAAGGCAGAUUCAUUUUUCACCGAUCCUCCAUCUGAGAAGAAGAGGAAAAGGAAGAGGAGGAGGAAGAGGAAGGAGAAGCAAGAUGACGUUGCUGCCAGAAAGCCUGAUGACAUGGAUUUGAACAUAAAUGACGACGACAUGGUAGAUUAGCAAACACAGUGGAAUAAAAACUAGACUCAAGUAUGUGCCCUUCAUGUAUACUUUGAGCAAAGCACUAUACAUGUGCAAACUUUUUUCCAGGUCUAAGUAGGCAAGCACCAAAGUAAUAAAACAGGUUUUACUCCUUUUGUAGGGUCAGAUGCCCGAAUAUGAAUCCCCCACAUAUGUAUAGGGCCACUUAUUGGACACUAUGCAUCUUAACAAUAAUUCAGAACCAGUAUAUAUAUAAUUUUGUGAUGUCUUAUUCUUUGGAUGGUGUUCUGUUCACCAAGCUUUCAAGGAUAGAGCUCGAUAACAGAUCGAACACCGAGAACAGGUAUAAUUUUGUAGUCCUUGAAUCCAGCCUCGAAGAAAAUCUUCUUCCACUCUUGCUCAUCUCGUUCAACUCCAUUGAUGUUCAUGAUUAAGAGGUCAUACAAAACUUGUGUCUCUGCAUGCUUGAUAUCAUCUGACGGCCCAGAUCCGACCACCAUAUCUAUUAUUAUUAUCUUUCCUCCAGCAUCUCGUGGAGAUAUAGCUUGUUUGCAGUUCUUCAAUAUCUUGACACACUCGUCAUCGCGCCAAUCAUGCAAAAUCCACUGAAAAAAACAAGCAAUCAUGCAUCAAUUUUCAAUCCAUACAUAAAUUAAACAUACAAUAGCUUAGGGCAUUUGCUGGUUGCUGUCAGUAAUGUGCAUUCGAAACAUUUGGGUAUUGGGAUGUACCUUGAGGAACACAGCGUUCGCCGGUGGAAUACUCUCAAACACGUCACCAGCAACGUAGUGCACGUCAGUACCAGAGGGAGCUUUUGCGACGACCUGUGGGAGAUCCAGCACGGUGCACUUCAAAUCCGGGAACGCCGCUGCUAUGGUCGCAGCGGCCCCGCCAAGGCCGCCGGCGACAUCGACGAGGGAGGUUAGCCCACGGAAGACCUCGGCGCACUCCCUGAGGACGAUCGGCAUCAGGAAGGCGGUGUCCGCGGCCAUGGCGUCGUUGAACCGGAACGCGGCGGCGUCAUGUUCCGCUCUCUCCCAGACCGUCUGGCCGCCGUACGCCAUGGCGAAC